RNAcentral lists this ribosomal RNA (253 nucleotides) under uncultured bacterium. RNAcentral's name for it is "partial 16S ribosomal RNA". It matches the Rfam family "Bacterial small subunit ribosomal RNA", at positions 524 to 776 of the family's 1533-position model. The record is from RNAcentral.
UACGUAGGGUGCGAGCGUUGUCCGGAAUUAUUGGGCGUAAAGGGCUCGUAGGCGGUUUGUCGCGUCGGGAGUGAAAACCCAGGGCUUAACCCUGGGCUGGCUUCCGAUACGGGCAGACUAGAGGUAUGCAGGGGAGAACGGAAUUCCUGGUGUAGCGGUGAAAUGCGCAGAUAUCAGGAGGAACACCGGUGGCGAAGGCGGUUCUCUGGGCAUUACCUGACGCUGAGACGCGAAAGCGUGGGGAGCAAACAGG